AUGGUGCUUAUCUCCUACUCCUACCACAGGGACUUGGACGGCACCGAGUUCCGCUUCCGCACUGUUUGUGAGGUCUAUGAGAUCAACUCCAAGGGCGCCUGGCGACCACCGGCGAGCAGCUCCGCACUGGGCAUGGUGAGAUUGGACAGUACGUCUGUCUUCGCGCAAGGCCACCUAUACUGGAGGGGGUUCGGGCGCCAGAACCCGAAGAUAAUCUCCUUCUCGCUCUCAGAUGAGGCUUUCGAGGUCUUGCCGCCGCCACCAUCCUGUCAUGGUAUAGACCAGCUUUACGGGCUGGCGGAGCUCGGGGGACACCUGUGCCUCUUCGGCACAGCUACCGAACCUGUACAACAACAUGACAUAUGGUUGUUGCGCGACCACGAGGCCGGUGUGUGGGAUCUACACUGCCGCAUAGACCUGAAUGCGGCGUGGCCGCUGGAGGUCAUGCAGUUCUCGAUAUGCCGGAGCAGCCCCAGCCCACUCGCCUUCAUCGACGAUGAUCGCCGCAUCCUGUUCAGGGUGUACUGCAAGUUGUCAAAAGAGGAAAGAUUCAAGAGCGCUUACAAACUUUAUGCGUAUAACCCUGCGACCGGCAAUGCCGAGAGCCUUGGCUUUCUCCCCCACAAGAGCACGCCACCCGAGUUGUAUGAGGAAAGUGUCGUCUCCACAGGUAGGCCAUUCGAAGACAUCGUAUCCUCAUCCGCGUCUCAAGAGGCGUAG
This 720-nucleotide ribosomal RNA is filed under the name Triticum aestivum (bread wheat). RNAcentral describes it as "partial small subunit ribosomal RNA". The record is from RNAcentral. Lineage: Eukaryota; Viridiplantae; Streptophyta; Magnoliopsida; Poales; Poaceae.